UAAAAGUUGAGUUUGGUGAUGGCUCUGAUUGAAUGCUGUCCAAGUGCUUGACACAUGCUAAUCGUACGUUUUAAUUGAUAAAUUAAAAAGUGGUGUACAGGUGAGUAUAAUGAUAUUCUUCGCCGGCCUUAAAGUGGAGGUAAAUCCUUCAUAAUAAAUAAAGGAAACAAGAUUCAAGGUGUAGCAAUAACCACUAAUAAAGGGGAUAUAGUAGAUAAAUGUAUUAGUGGACCUACUCCUUAUUGUUUCUGCUUUAAGAGGAUAAUAAAUAUCUUCGAGAUAGGUAGUAGUUAAGGUGAUGACUUAACUAGCCUUAAACUCUCGUAGUCGAAUCUGAAAGGUUGAUCGACCACAUUGGGUCUGAAAAAACCCCAAUGCAAGUUAGUACAGCAGUGAGGAAUCUUGGUCAAUGGCCUAACGGCUGAACUGGCAACUUGGAGAAGUGGCAAGUCUUCCAGUAUGGGGAGCAAACAGCUAUGGGUCAAGCCCGAUACCUUUAAGAGAAGUCUUAUUGUGAGGGCGAGUUGUAUAACACCAUAGGGCUGGCCGUCCCAUAUGAAAAGAUUUUAUUAGAAUUGAAUGAAACUUUGUUUAUAUAUUGAUAAUGACAGUAUAUAUAUCGUGUCUUGACUAAUUGCGUGCCAGCAGUCGCGGUAAUACGUAAGAGACUAGUGUUAUUCAUCUUAAUUAGGUUUAAAGGGUACCCAGACGGUCUAUAUAGCUUAUAAAAUGUUAGUAUAAGACUAGAGUUUUAUGUAAGAGGGCAGUACUUGAGGAGGAGAGAUGAAAUUUCGUGAUACCAAAGGGACUCUGUAAAGGCGAAGGCAGCCCUCUAUGUAAAAACUGACGUUGAAGGACGAAGGCACAGAGAACAAACAGGAUUAGAUACCCAAGUAGUCUUUGCAGUAAAUGAUGAAUGCCAUAGGUUAGAUAUAUAGUCUCCCUGAACAGUAUAUCUGGUCUAUAAAUGAAAGUGUAAGCAUUUCACCUCAAGAGUAAUGUGGCAACGCAGGAACUGAAAUCACUAGACCGUUUCUGACACCAGUAGUGAAGUAUGUUGUUUAAUUCGAUGAUCCACGAAAAACCUUACCACAAUUUGAAUAAUUUUAUUACAGGAGUUGCACGGCUGUUUCCAGUUAAUGUUGUGAAACUGUGGUUUCCAUGAAAUUAACGUAAUCCCUGGCUUUAUUUUUUUUAUUUACGAUAAAGCAUUCUUUCCUGGAAAUUUGGAAAGAAAAAGGGGACAAAGACAAGUCAUCAUGGCCUUGAUAUUGUGGGCUAUAGACGUGCCACAUAUACCUAGACAAAGAGAUGCGAAAAUGUGAAUUUAAGCUAAUCUCAAAAAAUAGGAUAUAAAUUUUAAGGAUUGUAGUCUGAAAUUCGACUAUAUGAAUAAGUAAUUACUAGUAAUCGUGAAUCACCAUGUCACGGUGAAUAGACCUUGGAUUGGUACUAACCACUCGUCACAUGCUGAAAGGGGCAUGCGCAAUAAGUUUGCUUUCUUAGUAACAAGUAAAAAAAACAAAUAGGUUUUAUAUAUUCUUUUAUUGGGAAUCUUCGUAUGCGUGGCUCUAAUUAGUGUUAAGUCGAAAUACGGUUCGGGUAGUGGAAGUUGCCCGGGAUUAAUUAAUCUU
Non-coding RNA from Fusarium poae, 1634 nucleotides. The record is from Rfam. Lineage: Eukaryota; Fungi; Ascomycota; Sordariomycetes; Hypocreales; Nectriaceae.